UAAACACAGUCUGUAAGUCUCAAGGUCACUAGGACUCUUUCCGACUCAAUCACAAAAUACAGUUGAACCCAAUAGGAAAGGCAGGAAGACCUUUAAGCACUCAGUUAAAUUCAAAAAUUCAGCUAUAUUCAAGCUUCACAUUCAUAUCUGACAACUGUGUUUAAACGCCUAAAUAGAAAACCGUUACAGAUUAAGAUACAAGAACCUAAGAUACAGGAGCAGAAUUAGGCCAUUUCAUCAUGGGUGAUACAAUUUUGCUUUCAGCCCCCAACUCCUGCCUUCUCCCAAUAUCCCUUCAUGCCCUGACCAAUCAAGAAUCUACCAGCCUCUGCCUUAAAUAUAUAUAGACUUGGCCUCCACAGCUGCCUGUGCCAAAGAAUUCCACAGAUCCACCACUCUUUGGCUAAAGGAAUUCGUCCUUAUUUCCAUUUUAAAAGGAUGCCCUUCUAUUCUGAGGCAGUAUCCUCUGGUCUUAAGAUUCUCCCGUCAUAGGACAUAUCCUCUCCACAUCCACUCAAUUGCAUGGUCUGAACAUAGUGCUAAAAUUACAAGGUUUAAAAAAAAAUGCAGGUUUUCUUAAAACAGUGUUAAACUAUUUGCAUACACUUAGUGGCCACUUUAAGUAUACCUGCUCAUAAUUGCAAAUAUCUAAUCAGCACUAGUGGCAGCAACACAAUGCAUAAAAGCAUGCAGACAUGGUCUGGGGGUCUGUUGUUGUUCAGACCAAACACAAGAAUGGGGAAGAAACAUGGAUCUAAGUGACUUUGACCAUGGAGUAAUUGUUGAUGCCAGAUGGGAUCGUUUAAGCAUCUCAGAAACUGAUGAUCUGCUGGGAUUUUCACACAUUGCAGUCUUUAGAGCUUACAGUGAAUAGUAUGGAAAAGAAAAACAUCCAGUGAGCAGCAUUUCUGUGGGUGAAAAUGACUUGUUAAUGAGAGGUCAGAGGAGAACUAGCAGACUGGUUCAAGCUAACAGGAAGGCAACACGUGUUACAACAGUGGUGAAAUGCUUUGAUCUGAAUGCACAACACAUUGAUCCUUGAAGUGGAUAGCAGCAGAAGACCAAGAACUGGAGGUACCUGAAAGUGGCCACUGAGUGCAAAGUCACAGUGUUUGGCAUUCACUGAACACUGCCUGCACCCCAGUUCCACUCAGUUCCCCCAAAAUCACAGCUUGUUCAAAAUUUGUCAUUAUUUGAGUGAUUGAACUGAGGGUGUUCACAUCCAUACUGACAAGAAUGAGCAUUUCAGGCGAUCAUAAUAUGUCUAGAGUCAGCGUCUUAGAGAAGCACAGCACAGAAACAGGCCCUUUGGCACAUCUACACCAUGCCAAAACCAUUUACACCGCCUACUCCCAUCGACCUGAAUCAGGUCUAUAGCCCUCAUAUCCCUACUAUCUAUGUACCUAUCCAAACUUCCCUUAAAAGCUGAAAUCAAGCUCACAUGCAACACUUGUGCUGGAAGCUCAUUCCAUACUCUCAUGACCAUCUGAGUGAAGAAGUUUCCCUUCAUGUUCCCCUUAAAUUUCACCUUUCACUCUUAGCCCACGACCUCUGGUUGUAGUCUCACUCAAUCUCAGUGGAAAAAGCCUGCUUGCAUUUACCCUAUCUAUACCCCUCAUAAUUUUGCACACCUCUGUCAAAUCUCCUCUCAAUCUUUUAUGUUCUAAAGAAUACAGUCCAAACUUAUUCAAUCUUCCCUUAUAACUUAGGUCCUCCAGACCCAGCAACAUACUUGUGUAAUGCCCUGCUAAGAGAUUUACUACUAUGCUGUAGGUAUUUUAUUUUAGCAGUUCUACAAGAGCAGUCUGUUCUGGUUUCCGGUUGUUUGGGUUUGAGCUGAGAUAAGAGGUUUGUUGUUCAACUUAAGAAUGUGGUAUCAGCCAAUCAGGAUGGUAGAAGUGGGAGUAGAUUCUAGAGAAUGCUGGGUGGAGAGAUCUUUGUUGGCAGGAGCUGGGAGAAGACAGGCGGGAAGAUGGUGGAGGACGCCAUCCCUGUUGCACAAGGUGCUUUGUGCAGAUGAAUGACUUUGAGGAGGAAGGACCAAUAACCCUAUGGGAGAGCCCGGUUUACGAUCGAUUUCGAGUGAUCUUUGGAAGGUGGUGUGUGCUUUCACACAGACCGAGGGUCCAGUGCGCGAUUUACAGACAAGGUCAAGAAAUAAAUCUAUCUCCUACUCCAACACGUACAGUGAAUUCGUACCUGUCGGCAACUUAUUCCAGAUGUUCGUGACUUUCAAGGAAAAGAACUGUCAGAACAAUACUGAGACACAAGAGGGAGCAGAUACUCUAACCCGGAGCGAAAAAAAUCGAACUGCUGGAAUAACUCAGCCGGGACCCUCCUUCUGCCUUUACAGAUGCUGCCUGAGUCGCUGAGUUUCUCCGGGGAGGGGUGUUUAAACAACACUAGUAAUCUCAAUUUAAAACGCUGGAUGCUCUGAGCAGGAUCUGUUGAAAUCAGAUGAACAGUCAUCGAAAUAAAACAUUAACUCAAGUGUUGCCAGUUCAGAUGCUGCUUAAA
Mobula hypostoma (lesser devil ray) is the source of this 2517-nucleotide long non-coding RNA. RefSeq lists it as uncharacterized. The record is from RefSeq and is a predicted model, not a curated record. NCBI's taxonomy places the organism in Eukaryota, Metazoa, Chordata, Chondrichthyes, Myliobatiformes, Myliobatidae. The transcript is spliced from 3 exons.